Molecule: ribosomal RNA, 618 nt
Filed under: Trichosporon sp. CLIB 3023
Lineage: Eukaryota; Fungi; Basidiomycota; Tremellomycetes; Trichosporonales; Trichosporonaceae
Description: partial 26S ribosomal RNA
Source: RNAcentral
UCAAGACGGGUCGUUUAAAGCCAUUAUGUCAACAUCCUAAGCUCGAACGUACCCGAAGGUCGGCCAUAAAGGCGAGCUGCAGUCCUCAGUCUCACCCAGUGUAUGUGAUAAUAGGCUAUAACACUUCCGGAGAAGUCACAUUCCUACUACCUUUAUCCACCGGACAAAACUGAUGUUGACCCGUUCAAAGGAAGUAGACCAGCAGAACCGGCUGAAUCCAAAGAACACGACUGACUUCAAUCGUUUCCCUUUCAACAAUUUCACGUACUGUUUAACUCUCUUUCCAAAGUGCUUUUCAUCUUUCCCUCACGGUACUUGUUCGCUAUCGGUCUCUCGCCAAUAUUUAGCUUUAGAUGGAAUUCACCACCCAUUUUGAGCUGCAUUCCCAAACAACUCGACUCGUAGAAGACGUAUCACAGAGCACCGGUGGUCGUGUUAAGUACGGGAUUAUCACCCUCUUUGAUACUCCUUUCCAGGAGACUUGGACACGGUCCGGCACGGAAAACGCCUCUAUAGAUUACAACUCGGACAAUCGAAGACUGCCAGAUUUCAAAUUUGAGCUCUUCCCGCUUCACUCGCCGUUACUAGGGGAAUCCUUGUUAGUUUCUUUUCCUCCGC